Molecule: ribosomal RNA, 802 nt
Filed under: Marinococcus sp.
Lineage: Bacteria; Bacillati; Bacillota; Bacilli; Caryophanales; Bacillaceae
Description: bacterial SSU rRNA
Rfam family: Bacterial small subunit ribosomal RNA
Source: RNAcentral
GCCCUGACCUCGCCUGAGGUCAGCGGUAAAGCAGGGAUCUUCGGAUCCUUGCACAGUCCGAUGGGCCCGCGGCGCAUUAGCUAGUUGGAGAGGUAAGGGCUCCCCAAGGCGACGAUGCGUAGCCGACCUGAGAGGGUGAUCGGCCACACUGGGACUGAGACACGGCCCAGACUCCUACGGGAGGCAGCAGUAGGGAAUCAUCCGCAAUGGGCGAAAGCCUGACGGUGCAACGCCGCGUGAGUGAUGAAGGUUUUCGGAUCGUAAAGCUCUGUUGACAGGGAAGAACCCACGCCAGUCGAACAGGCUGGCGUGCUGACGGUACCUGUCCAGAAAGCCCCGGCUAACUACGUGCCAGCAGCCGCGGUAAUACGUAGGGGGCAAGCGUUGUCCGGAAUUAUUGGGCGUAAAGGGCACGCAGGCGGUUUCGUCAGUCCGAUGUGACAGGCCACGGCUCAACCGUGGAAGGCCAUUGGAAACUGCGAAACUUGAGGACAGAAGAGGAGAGUGGAAUUCCACGUGUAGCGGUGAAAUGCGUAGAUAUGUGGAGGAACACCAGUGGCGAAGGCGACUCUCUGGUCUGUACCUGACGCUGAGGUGCGAAAGCAUGGGGAGCAAACAGGAUUAGAUACCCUGGUAGUCCAUGCCGUAAACGCUGAGUGCUAGGUGUUAGGGGUUUCGAUACCCGUAGUGCCGAAGCUAACGCAUUAAGCACUCCGCCUGGGGAGUACGACCGCAAGGUUGAAACUCAANGGAAUUGACGGGGNCCNGCACAAGNGGUGGAGCAUGUGGUUUAAUUCGACGC